UCCUCUAGGUGACAGGAUAAAGUGUGAA
This 28-nucleotide non-coding RNA is filed under the name Rattus norvegicus (Norway rat). Lineage: Eukaryota; Metazoa; Chordata; Mammalia; Rodentia; Muridae. The record is from RNAcentral.